AAUUCCCACCAAUUUUUUUUUCGUAACAAAUUUUUUUCUCAGCCAAAAAAUGCUUUUAAAAAUUCUUGUAAAUUUUUAUUGGCGGGAAAUAGAUUUACAAUGGAUUUUAAAAGGAUUUUAAAAUAUUUACAAGAGAUUUUAAAAGGGUUUUAAAAUAUUUACAAGAGAUUUUAAAGGGCUUUAAAAGAUUAACAAAAGUUUUUUAAAGAUUUUUAAAAGGUUUAAAAGUAUUUCAAAAGAUUUCAAGGGAUUUUAAAAGGGUUUUAAAGAUUUACAAGGGAUUUUAAAAGGUUUGAAAAAAAUUUACAAGAGUUUUUAAAGUCUUCUAAAACUCCUUGAAAAUCCCUUGUAAAUAUUUUAAAACACUUUUAAAAUCACUUGUAGAUAUUUUAAAACCCUUUUAAAACAAUUUUAAACUCUUUAAAAAUCUUCAAAAAACCUUUGUAAAUCUUUUAAAGCCCUUUAAAAUCCCUUGUAAAUCUUUUUAAAAUCCUUUUAAAAUCCCUUGUAAAUAUUUUAAAACUCUUUUAAAAUCUCUUGUAAAUCUUUUAAACCCCUUUUAAAAUCUCUUGUAAAUAUUUUAAAAGCCUUUUAAAAUCCCCUGUAAAUCUUUUAAAACCCUUUUAAAAUCCUUUGUAAGUCUAUUUUCUCGCCAAAAAUUUUUUUUUUCGGAAAUUUUUGGCGGGAAAUUUUUUCAAAAUUUUUUUUGGCGGGAAAAUUUUGGCGGGAAAUUUAUUUUGGAAUAUUUUAGGCGAAAAAUAUUAAUAUUUCAUUUUAUUAACCUUAAACAAUUUCCAAAUAGGGGUAAAAUGGUCAUUAAAAAUUUAAAGAGGGUAGAAAUGAAAAUGACUAAAGAAAAAGAGUAAAAUUGAAAAGGGACAUCAUGAAAAGGACAUUAGAAAGAAUUUUUCAAAAAAUAAACGAAAUAUGUAUUAUUCAUUCAUGUUUAAUAACCUAACAUUGCAUUAAAAAGUGGAAAAACUAAAAAUCAAAUUAUUAAUAAUAAAAUAUUUAUUUAAAAGAAAUGACAAAGGUUCAGAACUAAAAUAAGAAAU
RNAcentral lists this small RNA (1055 nucleotides) under Arabidopsis thaliana (thale cress). RNAcentral's name for it is "ATSL263690". Lineage: Eukaryota; Viridiplantae; Streptophyta; Magnoliopsida; Brassicales; Brassicaceae. The record is from RNAcentral.